AUUGAACGCUGGCGGCAUGCUUUACACAUGCCAGUCGAACGGUAACAGGCCGCAGGGUGCUGACGAGUGGCGAACGGGUGAGUAAUGCAUCGGAACGUGCCCAGUCGUGGGGGAUAACUACUCGAAAGAGUAGCUAAUACCGCAUACGAUCUAUGGAUGAAAGCGGGGGACCGUAAGGCCUCGCGCGAUUGGAGCGGCCGAUGUCAGAUUAGGUAGUUGGUGGGGUAAAGGCUCACCAAGCCAACGAUCUGUAGCUGGUCUGAGAGGACGACCAGCCACACUGGGACUGAGACACGGCCCAGACUCCUACGGGAGGCAGCAGUGGGGAAUUUUGGACAAUGGGCGCAAGCCUGAUCCAGCAAUGCCGCGUGCAGGAAGAAGGCCUUCGGGUUGUAAACUGCUUUUGUACGGAACGAAACGGCUCUGGUUAAUACCCGGGGCUAAUGACGGUACCGUAAAAAUAAGCACCGGCUAACUACGUG
RNAcentral lists this ribosomal RNA (482 nucleotides) under uncultured bacterium. RNAcentral describes it as "partial 16S ribosomal RNA". It matches the Rfam family "Bacterial small subunit ribosomal RNA", at positions 30 to 507 of the family's 1533-position model. The record is from RNAcentral.